UUGAGAAAAUAUUUGAUUAAAAGAAAACGUAGACAGCACGCAUUCCUUGAAGCUCAUUAAAUUACUCUUAUAUAUUUCAUCUGGACACUGCAAAACGGUUUGGACAUGAUGCCCUUUCGGACAAUUGUCAUUCCAUUACAAGAACGAGGUUAUGGCUGAGACACAUAGCAGAUUGGAGGUAUUAUGCGUGGGAGGAGUUUUCGAGACAGGUGUGAGAGAAUUUUUUCGGGGACUGGAAUUUUCCCACUACUUCCAUUUCCAUUUCCUUUCAUCAGCCCAAUUCGACAGGCAUACGCUUCGACCUUCCGACCUCCAAGAAAAUUGCAAAUGGUUAAUGGGUGUGGGAGAUGAUCCAGCAGGACCAGCACACAAUGUUAAAACUAUCUCUUCUUUGAUACAACAACGUGUGCGGAAUAUAGACAAGAAUGAGCAAGGCCCCAUGGUCAUGCCUCCACAGCAGUGCAGAAAGAGUAUGGAAACAGAAAGCGAACAGAGGGCUUGUAAUAUACAAAGAUAACGAGAGAACAAGAGUUAUCAUAAGAGCCAAGAACUAAGGGGUAUCCAAAUUCACUUGAGGCACGAUCUCGACCUCAUCCUAUUUCAAGAUGUCGGAGUCAUGCACUUAGCAAGACUUGAUCCUUGAUGGGUUCAUUAAAAACCAUUCGACUUCACCAACAAUUCAAGGGCCCAUUGAUAUAGUUAAUAAUUUCAAUCCUUUUCUUCAUAAGAAACAUCUAUUUAAUGUAAUCAAGUCAAAGUUGCAGAGAUAGCAUCCAUUUUCUUC
Molecule: RNA transcript, 784 nt
Organism: Cryptomeria japonica (Japanese cedar)
Lineage: Eukaryota; Viridiplantae; Streptophyta; Pinopsida; Cupressales; Cupressaceae
Exons: 4
Source: RefSeq, a predicted model, not a curated record